This 1894-nucleotide long non-coding RNA is filed under the name Malus domestica (apple). RNAcentral's name for it is "long non-coding RNA (MDOM_LNC002483)". The record is from RNAcentral. Lineage: Eukaryota; Viridiplantae; Streptophyta; Magnoliopsida; Rosales; Rosaceae.
CACCAACCAGGUGAUGAAAUGUACAACCCGUACUCUAAUAUCAUUUGGCAACUAGCCAUUCAUGCCACCAACCAGGUGAUGAGAUGUACAACCCGUACUCUAAUUUGGCAACUAGCCAUUCAUGCCACCAACCAGGUGAUGAAAUGUACAACCCGUACUCUCCUUCAUGCCACCAACCAGGUGAUCAAAAGUACGCAUAGUACUCCAAAUUAUACAUGAGCAUUACUCAUGUCAUUCAUACAUAAACAUUCAUGAGCAUCACUCAUGACAAUCAUACGUAAACAUUCAUGACCAUCAUUCAUGUCAACAUUCAUGAACAUCACUCAUGUUAACAUUCAUGAGCAUCACUCAUGACAACAUCCAUGACCAUCACUCAUGUCAACAUUCAUGAGCAUCACUCGUGACAACAUCCAUGAGCAUCAUUCAUGUCAAUCAACAUAAACAUUCAUGAGCAUCACUCAUGUCAAUCAGCUUCAAAAGCUUCAUUUACAGAGCUUCAGCUUCAAAGCUUCACUUGCAAAGCUUCACCUACAAAGCUUCAGUGCAGGAUAUACAAAUACCGCCUCCGAACAACCGCCACUUCGGCCCAUAUAUGGAUUCAAUUUGAAGUCUCCAGCCAACAGACUCUAUUGACCGAAGACUUAGGGGACUACAUUAUGUACCAUAUAUUGGGCCUCAACUAGGCCUCAUGAAAAAAAUACUUGGGGGACUUAGCCCAUCACUUAUGUAUUGAGGAGUGAGCCCUUAUUUUAUAAAGGGACUCCCUCACCUUCAUUAGAGAACAACGCCGCCAGCUGAGCAACCGCCUCGCCGCCAGCAUCAACUCUAGCCCAUCACUUAUGUAUUGAGGAGCGAGCCCUUAGUUUAUAAAAGGGACUCCCUCACCAUCAUUAGAGAGCAUCGCCGCCAGCUGAGCAACCGCCUCGCCGCGAGCAUCAACUCUAGCCCAUCACUUAUGUAUUGAGGAGCGAGCCCUUAGUUUAUAAAAGGGACUCCCUCACCAUCAUUAGAGAGCAUCGCCGCCUGCUGAGCAACUGCCUCGCCGCGAGCAUCAACUCUAGCCCAUCAUUUAUGUACUGAAGAGCGAGCCCUUAAUAAAAUGGACUCCUUCACCUUCAAACGUCACAAGCCGAGCCAACCAAGGCAAUAUAAGCCACAAGCAGAGCUGCCUCGCAACAUGUGCUACUUCUAGUUGAGCAUCAUUUCACUUUGAGCACUACCUCAUAUCAAGUACCAGUUCAAGACGACAUCUAGUUACUUUGGCCCACACAUGGAUUGAAUUUCAAGUCUCCAGCCAAAAGACUCUCUUGACUGAAGACUUGGGGGACUACUGUUUAUACCAUAUUUAGGGCCUCGUAUUUAGGUCUCGUAUAAAUACUCGGAGGACUUAAAUGUAAUUAUGUGAUAAAGGAAGGAGCAAAUAUGUAAUAAGUGAGGAGUCCUUAUUCUAUAAAAGGACCAUUCACCCUCACACUUUGGGAGAGCCUGAUUCUCACCUUCAAAGGCCAAUUUCUUAGGCCAUGGAAGGGCUCUCUCACCCUCAGAAGCUCUAUCCAUCUCUCUCCUUCACUUCUCAGAGAAAUACAAUAUAAUCAGUGUGGACGUAGCCCAAACCUUGGGGUGAACCACGAUACAUCUUGUGUUAUUUACAUUUCAUGCAGAUUCACGGUUGGAUUUACGUUGUACCAAGACCUCCUGUUUUAUGCAUCAACAUUUGGCGCCGUACUCUAAUUUGGCAACUAGCCAUUCAUGCCACCAACCAGGUGAUGAGAUGUACAACCCGUACUCUAAAUUGGCAACUAGCCAUUCAUGCCACCAACCAGGUGAUGAAAUGUACAACCCAUACUCUCAUUCAUGCCACCAACCAGGUGAUCAAAAGUAUGCCUAGUACUCC